CUGCGAUAUUACGAGUAAUAUCAACUUCUUGGCUUCUGAAUAUGAGGAAGAAUAUCACAGGGAUAUUAAUAACAAUUUCACAGGCUGGGUGAACACAGCCGGCGAUGCUGAAAUUAGUAUCAUCCUCUACCCCUCUUCCCCUCCUGGCUCUCAGUCCCCGCCUCACGGGUUAUGUAGCGGGUUAUGGCAAGAAGACAAACUGCAGUUUCCUGCACAGAACAGCACAAACAAUGAUCCAAGCUCAGUUACAACACAAUAUUGGUCAUCAUUUGACAAUGGACUUCAUAUCAACCCUUAGAAAUGUUCCUAAAACAGGUCAGCAAAACACCAAGAAGCAAUAUCCUGAAUGUCUUAGAAUCUCAAGUGACUCUGACUCUACAGUCUAUUGAAUGUGCAUUCAGCU
RNAcentral lists this long non-coding RNA (403 nucleotides) under Homo sapiens (human). RNAcentral's name for it is "HSALNT0366654". The record is from RNAcentral. Lineage: Eukaryota; Metazoa; Chordata; Mammalia; Primates; Hominidae.